RNAcentral lists this ribosomal RNA (253 nucleotides) under uncultured bacterium. Its description in RNAcentral is "partial 16S ribosomal RNA". It matches the Rfam family "Bacterial small subunit ribosomal RNA", at positions 524 to 776 of the family's 1533-position model. The record is from RNAcentral.
UACGGAGGGUGCAAGCGUUGCUCGGAAUUAUUGGGCGUAAAGGGCAGGUAGGUGGUCUUAUUUGUCUUAUGUGAAAGCCUUGGGCUUAACUCAAGAAGUGCGUAAGAAACGGUAAGACUAGAGUCCUAGAGAGGCUAGUGGAAUUCCCGGUGUAGCGGUGAAAUGCGUAGAGAUCGGGAGGAACACCAGAGGCGAAGGCGGCUAGCUGGAUAGGCACUGACACUCAACUGCGAAAGCGUGGGGAGCAAACAGG